RNAcentral lists this unclassified non-coding RNA (167 nucleotides) under uncultured Oidiodendron. RNAcentral describes it as "sequence contains ITS1". The record is from RNAcentral. Lineage: Eukaryota; Fungi; Ascomycota; Leotiomycetes; Myxotrichaceae.
CAGAGUUCUCGCCCUACCGGGUAGAUCUCCCACCCACUGUUAUUGCUACUGUCGUUGCUUUGGCGGGCCGCCGGGCCCUGCCCGGCCGCCGGCCCCGGCUGGCGCGCGCCCGCCAAAGGCCCCUAAACUCUGAAUGUCAGUGUCGUCUGAGUACUAUACAAUAGUUA